AUGCCCAACGUCAAGUCCGCCGGUGGUGCUGGUGCCAGUGCCAUCCCUGCCGGCGGCGACGGCGAGGUGGAGGCUGGGUUCGCCAAGCUGCAGGGUGAGGAUUUCGAGUACUACAUGCAGACCUACUCCAUCAUGCUGGGCCGCAACAGCAAGAAAUCCACGGUGGACGUGGAUCUCUCCAGCCUUGGCGGGGGGAUGAACAUCUCGCGCCACCACGCGCGGAUAUUCUACGACUUCCAGCGCCGCCGCUUCGCGCUCGACGUCAUCGGCAAGAACGGCUGCCUGGUUGAGGGUGUCCUGCACCUCCCUGGGAACCCUCCUGUCAAGCUUGACUCGCAGGACCUCCUUCAGAUUGGAGACAAGAAGUUUUAUUUCCUCUUGCCCACGAGGUCUAUCUUUGCCUCGUUCGCUGCUCGGCAAGCCCCUGUUAUUCCUCCACAGAUCCCGCCGCCAGCUUAUGCGCGGCCAGGGCACCCUCGUGUGUCCGAUUUCCAUGACCGCUUCUCUGAAGGUGAUUAUGGCCGGGACAGUGAUGACAUUGGGAAUGGUGUUGGGGAAGGUGGAAUGAAGGGCAAGCUGAAGAGAACCAAGAAGUCUCCCGGAGAUUUGGACAUCUAUGGUGGGCACAGAAUCAAUGUUGAAGCAAUAGGAACAUUGGGUGAAGACAACAGAUCAGAAAUAAGAUCAAGGGGUGACAAGGAUGUGGACAACCAGCACCUUCAAACGGAAGAGAAGGAAGUCGUGUCAUCUGUUGCGACUGUGUUAUCUGACCUCUGUGGCCCCGGAGAAUGGAUGCCUAUGAAAACACUCCAUACAGAGCUUAUGGACCAGUUUGGCAACGUGUGGCACCACAGCAGGGUGCGGAAAUACCUGACGGCGGACGACUGGUCGCCAAUUGAAGCCAAGGGGAGGCCGUGGUACGGGCUGCUGGGGCUGCUCAGGAAGUACCCAGAGCACUUCGUCAUCAACACGAAGUCCAAGGGCAGGGCGAUCUCGGAGUUCGUCUCGCUGGUUUCCUUGCUCUCCUGA
Molecule: ribosomal RNA, 1029 nt
Filed under: Triticum aestivum (bread wheat)
Lineage: Eukaryota; Viridiplantae; Streptophyta; Magnoliopsida; Poales; Poaceae
Description: partial small subunit ribosomal RNA
Source: RNAcentral